Molecule: ribosomal RNA, 724 nt
Filed under: Pseudomonas sp. MT5(2001)
Lineage: Bacteria; Pseudomonadati; Pseudomonadota; Gammaproteobacteria; Pseudomonadales; Pseudomonadaceae
Description: bacterial SSU rRNA
Rfam family: Bacterial small subunit ribosomal RNA
Source: RNAcentral
ACAUGCAAGUCGAGCGGAUGAAAGGAGCUUGCUCCUGGAUUCAGCGGCGGACGGGUGAGUAAUGCCUAGGAAUCUGCCUGGUAGUGGGGGACAACGUUUCGAAAGGAACGCUAAUACCGCAUACGUCCUACGGGAGAAAGCAGGGGACCUUCGGGCCUUGCGCUAUCAGAUGAGCCUAGGUCGGAUUAGCUAGUUGGUGAGGUAAUGGCUCACCAAGGCGACGAUCCGUAACUGGUCUGAGAGGAUGAUCAGUCACACUGGAACUGAGACACGGUCCAGACUCCUACGGGAGGCAGCAGUGGGGAAUAUUGGACAAUGGGCGAAAGCCUGAUCCAGCCAUGCCGCGUGUGUGAAGAAGGUCUUCGGAUUGUAAAGCACUUUAAGUUGGGAGGAAGGGCAGUAAAUUAAUACUUUGCUGUUUUGACGUUACCGACAGAAUAAGCACCGGCUAACUCUGUGCCAGCAGCCGCGGUAAUACAGAGGGUGCAAGCGUUAAUCGGAAUUNCUGGGCGUAAAGCGCGCGUAGGUGGUUUGUUAAGUUGGAUGUGAAAUCCCCGGGCUCAACCUGGGAACUGCAUUCUAAACUGACAAGCUAGAGUAUGGUAGAGGGUGGUGGAAUUUCCUGUGUAGCGGUGAAAUGCGUAGAUAUAGGAAGGAACACCAGUGGCGAAGGCGACCWCCUGGACUGAUACUGACACUGAGGUGCGAAAGCGUGGGGAGCAAA